GUGGAAUUUGUAACAUGGUGGCUCUUUUUUAAUUUUCACGCUAUUUGGGGACCAAAUCGAAUAAUCUAAAAUGCUAAAUUGCUUAGAAAGAAAAGAUCUAUCGAUCUAGAGGUUGUGCCAAUAUGCACUCUAAACCAAGCUAUAAAGGGUUAAUUCAAGCUCCUUGUCUGAAAGUUUCAUCAAAAUCAAACCCACACUUUUCGAGAAAAUCGCCUAACAGUGAAGCAACCUUGGAUUUUCCCCAUACAAAAGAGGGCGGCAAAAAUGAAAUUAGCUACGGCUCCACUCCUAGAGGUUGUGCAAACAUGCACGGUAUCGCAUUCGAAGGGGCAUAAUUUUAGAUAAUUUCUGAAAUAAUUACAGGUUACUCAACUCGGUCUAGCAAGGAUGCGCAGCACGGGUCAAACGCACGAAACUCCCAACACGACGGAGUUGUAAGUUAUCAGCGGAACACACGAUCAAUGCAAGUUAUACGGAACAGCGAUCAGGCGCAGAGUCACAGCACAAUAAAGUGCCGACGCUGCAAGUUUGGGACAGUCGGUCAAGUCUCAAGUGGAACAGCUCAACAAGCGGUAUACUGCUGACAUUGCUGCCUAGACGACCAGUCAACGAACCAGAAGCUACACUAGG
Drosophila subpulchrella is the source of this 630-nucleotide long non-coding RNA. RefSeq lists it as uncharacterized. The transcript has 3 exons. NCBI's taxonomy places the organism in Eukaryota, Metazoa, Arthropoda, Insecta, Diptera, Drosophilidae. The record is from RefSeq and is a predicted model, not a curated record.